GAUGAACGCUGGCGGCGUGCCUAAUACAUGCAAGUCGAGCGAACAGACUAGUAUCUUGCUCCUCUGACGUUAGCGGCGUACGGGUGAGUAACACGUGGAUAACUUACCUAUAAGACUGGGAUAACUUCGGGAAACCGGAGCUAAUACCGGAUAAUAUAUUGAACCGCAUGGUUCAAUAGUGAAAGACGGUUUUGCUGUCACUUAUAGAUGGAUCCGCGCCGCAUUAGCUAGUUGGUAAGGUAACGGCUUACCAAGGCAACGAUGCGUAGCCGACCUGAGAGGGUGAUCGGCCACACUGGAACUGAGACACGGUCCAGACUCCUAAGGGAGGCAGCAGUAGGGAAUCUUCCGCAAUGGGCGAAAGCUUGACGGAGCAACGCCGCGUGAGUGAUGAAGGUCUUCGGAUCGUAAAACUCUGUUAUUAGGGAAGAACAAAUGUGUAAGUAACUAUGCACGUCUUGACGGUACCUAAUCAGAAAGCAACGGCUAACUACGUG
RNAcentral lists this ribosomal RNA (497 nucleotides) under uncultured bacterium. RNAcentral's name for it is "partial 16S ribosomal RNA". It matches the Rfam family "Bacterial small subunit ribosomal RNA", at positions 28 to 507 of the family's 1533-position model. The record is from RNAcentral.